GGAGUAUGAGAAAUUGUCUCUAUGUUUUUUAAAUUGUAAAAUAAUUGUUCAUGAUCUAUUUAAUUGUAGACAAUUACAAACAAAAUGACAAUGUUUUUUCUGGUGGGGAGAAGAUAAUUGGUGCAAAAAAUAAAACAACAUUAUUGCCAAAGGUGUGCACAAGAUGAGACUAAAGGCUUUUUAGCUUAAAUGUUAGAACCUAUAAUGGAGUUGGUAAAGGAGCCUGUGGUGAAAUUUGUGGAGGAGCCUAUGGUGAAAUUUGUGGAGGAGCUUAUAGUGAAAUUUGUGGUGGAGCCUAUGAUGGAACUUGUGAUGACACUUAUGGUGAAGCCUGUGGUGGAGGUGCAACCUGUUGCUGUUAGUGGAAAAUAGGAAGUGCACUUGAUGCUCAAAUGUAUCCAUUGUAUUCUUCUUCAUUAUCGUUUAUACCUUGAACCCACAAGAACAAAAAAGAUACUCGAACAAACGAUUAGCUUACUUUUUAUUGAUAGCGGUUCAUUUUACGUGUUUUUG
This 513-nucleotide long non-coding RNA is filed under the name Vigna radiata. RNAcentral's name for it is "long non-coding RNA (VRAD_LNC009508)". The record is from RNAcentral. Lineage: Eukaryota; Viridiplantae; Streptophyta; Magnoliopsida; Fabales; Fabaceae.